Molecule: long non-coding RNA, 1261 nt
Organism: Corvus hawaiiensis (hawaiian crow)
Lineage: Eukaryota; Metazoa; Chordata; Aves; Passeriformes; Corvidae
Exons: 3
Source: RefSeq, a predicted model, not a curated record
UGGAGUGCUGUAAUCUACAAAGAAGUCCCAUAACAUGACCUGAAUAACAUGGCAGCAACAUGUGUGCAACAUUCGGGUUGACUUUGCUCCGUGUAAAGCAAAUCUGUCAUGCCUCCAUUCUUUGAGCAGAGCUGGAAAGAAGAUCAAUAACUCAUAAACGUCCAGGGAAGUUUGUGACACUAGAGCUGAUGACUGGAAAUAAGAAGUCAUCAAAAUCCAGGGCUCAUUUUGGUGCCUUUUUGCCUGUCUCAUCUUUAAGUAUUCCAGUCAAUCUGCACAGUAUGCACAGAUUCUGAAUGCAGUAGAUUGGAACAGAUUGGAGAAACAGCUAUCACCCUGAUUGAGAAAAGACAGCCCUAACAACAAGUCUGACAAAACUGGUCUCUGAAUUUUUACCUGGCAGAAUUGAUUAAUUUUCUGCUGUGCCUAAAAGUGUAAGAUAUUUAUUGCCAUAAGAGAAGAGCACAGUCUUCAAAGUCAUGUGAAAUACUCUGUUCUGUAUAAUAAAGAUUUUUUAAGUUAGAAAUUUCUAUAAAAAGAGACUCAAAUUUAGAAUGUACUGUUGGGACCACUUGAUUUAUCUAAUCUGACCUGAAUUGAAUUUUUAAAAAUAAAAAUGUGUAAACACAUCUUUUAUUUUUGAGCUAAUCACAAAGACAGUUAGAACUCUUUCACAUCUCAGCACUUGUUCAUAAUUUUUGAAAAAAUGAAUUUCUAGUACCAAAGCAGCUCUAUUUUUAAAGCAGCUGUGUGCAACGGUAACGUAAUAAGUCACAUAAUAAUCAAGUUACUACGUAACACUGAGGGGUUUUUUGCAGUCAUUUAGUGGGUUGCAGAAGAGAGGAUUUGUUCAUUAACUUGCUAGGCGAUAUCUACUUCUAUACAUAUUAUGAUAUUGAAAUGACUUCCCAGGAACACACUGUUACUCAUUAGAAAUAAUAUUGGGCUGUGGUGUAAUUAAAGUAAAAUAAAAUGUACUGUGACUAUAGCUAAACAAAACAUAAGUACAAAAUAUAGAUCUAUUUGAAAAACAUGGCCUCCAUUUCAGAAACAAUGGCCUCUGUAAUGUUAACUUAUAGACUGGUGUAAGAGGUCAAGAAAGGUAAACGGACUUAAAACUGUCUUUUUCAACAAGUAGCAUGUUUACUUUGCAUACAUGGAUAGUUUGGCCAAACAGCAGAGUUUGUAAUGUUUAAUGCUACAUCUCUAGAAAACAUGUGGCUCUUAAACCACAGUCAAAUCUUCAUGUCAAACAUGUAUG